Molecule: long non-coding RNA, 1084 nt
Organism: Astatotilapia calliptera (eastern happy)
Lineage: Eukaryota; Metazoa; Chordata; Actinopteri; Cichliformes; Cichlidae
Source: Ensembl
GUGUCUAUGCUGUCAUCACAUACAGAUAAACUGAACAUGGACAUCUCCCGAAGAAAUCAGUAACUCCUUCAUGUGUGGCGUUCUGUGAGAUGAUGAUAGAGUUUGGAAAAACUGGAGUUUGUUUGAUUAAAGAUCCCUGCAGUGUGGGUAUAAGGAAACAGAGGUGAGGCAGAGGUAAAUGCAGGGGUCUGAAGGUUAGGCUGGGGUUUGGGUGGAUGUUAUGUCCCUCUGACUAUAGCAAAAUGUGCUUUUCGCUAAGGAGGCAUUGGGGUCUUUUCAUUAUUUCCAUUAGUUCUGAUCCACCCUCAAGGGUCCAAAAGAUGUCAAGAAUUAAUAGCCACAGUGGUCAAGGUUACUCUUGCGAUAAUUCACUCAACCCUGCAUCUUUUCACUUUAUCAAAUGUUCAAAAUAUAAAAAAAAAAAAAAAGAAGGAAGGAAGGAAGGAAGGAAGGAAGGAAGGAAGGAAGGAAGGAAGGAAGGAAGGAAGGAAGGAAGGAAGGAAGGAAGAAAGAAAGGAAGAAAGAAAGAAAGAAAGAAAGAAAGAAAGAAAGAAAGAAAGAAAGAAAGAAAGAAAGAAAGAAAGAAAGAAAGAAAGAAAGAUAGAUCUCAAUAGAAUAAAGGAGAAGUAAGAUAUGGGACUGAAGGAGAGAAGAAAACCUAGAUAGAUGGGGUGAUACAUACCAUAUACUCCACAUUGUUUCAAGUGAAGGAGGCAUAAAAAGUCGGAAACCUGUACAUUUCCAGUUUUCCCAAAUAAGAUGUCCCAUAACUCAGUAUGAAGAGCAGAUCGGGCAUGUUUGACAACACAUUCCUCGGUCUACCUUUACACUCCCCUGAUGGAAUCACAUUUUCCAACCCUCAGACCUUCACAGAGAGCAAGGCAGGGGGCAAACAAUAAUACUGGUCUCCUCUGAGACUGUGUGCACUUCAUUUGUUAAAUAUCAAAGCAGAUACUGCGGUGUUUAGAUAUGUUUGAUCCCAACAACUCUCCCAUUACCUACAAUGGCUAAAGGUUUAUUACUUUAAUAUAUAUCUGCCAACACAUUUAUGUAACCUACUUCCAGGUAUCUUGUAUUAAAAUUU